UACGUAGGGUGCAAGCGUUGUCCGGAAUUAUUGGGCGUAAAGAGCUCGUAGGCGGUUUGUCGCGUCUGCUGUGAAAACCCGAGGCUCAACCUCGGGCCUGCAGUGGGUACGGGCAGACUAGAGUGCGGUAGGGGAGAUUGGAAUUCCUGGUGUAGCGGUGGAAUGCGCAGAUAUCAGGAGGAACACCGAUGGCGAAGGCAGGUCUCUGGGCAUUAACUGACGCUGAGGAGCGAAAGCAUGGGGAGCGAACAGG
RNAcentral lists this ribosomal RNA (253 nucleotides) under uncultured bacterium. RNAcentral describes it as "partial 16S ribosomal RNA". It matches the Rfam family "Bacterial small subunit ribosomal RNA", at positions 524 to 776 of the family's 1533-position model. The record is from RNAcentral.